Molecule: transfer RNA, 62 nt
Filed under: Hydrotaea dentipes
Lineage: Eukaryota; Metazoa; Arthropoda; Insecta; Diptera; Muscidae
Description: tRNA-Cys
Source: RNAcentral
GGCUUUAUAGUCAAUAAUGAUAUUAGACUGCAAUUCUAAAGGAGUAAAUUUUACUAAAGCUU